GGCCCCGUAGCUCAGCUGGAUAGAGCAGCCGCCUCCUAAGCGGCAGGUCAGUGGUUCGAAUCCACUCGGGGUCACCA
Molecule: transfer RNA, 77 nt
Filed under: Pseudovibrio denitrificans
Lineage: Bacteria; Pseudomonadati; Pseudomonadota; Alphaproteobacteria; Hyphomicrobiales; Stappiaceae
Also listed under: 15 other names
Description: tRNA-Arg
Rfam family: tRNA
About the family: Transfer RNA (tRNA) molecules are approximately 80 nucleotides in length. Their secondary structure includes four short double-helical elements and three loops (D, anti-codon, and T loops).
Source: RNAcentral